This 776-nucleotide ribosomal RNA is filed under the name uncultured Neocallimastigales. RNAcentral describes it as "partial large subunit ribosomal RNA". It matches the Rfam family "Eukaryotic large subunit ribosomal RNA", at positions 18 to 646 of the family's 3401-position model. Lineage: Eukaryota; Fungi; Neocallimastigomycota; Neocallimastigomycetes; Neocallimastigales. The record is from RNAcentral.
UCAGACGAUGCGUCAUGCAUAUCAAUAAGCGGAGGAAAAGAAACUAACAAGGAUUCCCCUAGUAACGGCGAGUGAAGCGGGAAGAGCCUCAAAUUUGAAAUCUUAAAGGGUUUCCCUUUACGAAUUGUAGUUUAAAGAAGUGUUUUCUGUUGAGGUUUUGGUAAAAGUUCUUUGGAAUAGGACAUCAUAGAGGGUGAGAAUCCCGUAUUUGACCUUUACUUUCAACUUUGUGAUACACUUUCAAAGAGUCGGAUUGUUUGGGAAUGCAGUCCAAAAUGGGUGGUAAAUUUCAUCUAAAGCUAAAUAUUGGCGAGAGACCGAUAGCGAACAAGUACCGUGAGGGAAAGAUGAAAAGAACUUUGAAAAGAGAGUUAAACAGUACGUGAAAUUGUCAAAAGGGAAGCGUUUGACACCAGUGUUGUUUUUCUGAAAAUCAAUUAAAGAACUGUUUAUGCUAAGUUGUUUAGACUUUAUCAGCUAAUCUGUUUAGUUUUGAGCUUUUCUUUAAUGCACUUUUCAGUUAACAAGUCAACAUCAAUUUCUUUUGCUGUAAAAAAGCUUGAGGAAGGUGGCUUGAGAUUCGUCUUAAGUGUUUAUAGCCUCUUGCCUAUGCAGUCGGAGAGAUUGAGGUCUGCAGCGUAGAUCCUUCGGGGCUAAAUGCAUUUGUGCUAAGUUAUAGCAUUUUAUAGACAACUUGUUGACUAUGAUUUGUCUUGUAGCUUACUCGCUUAUGUUAUUUUACCUACGCUUAGGAUGUUGACACACGCGCGUGCUCG